This 813-nucleotide long non-coding RNA is filed under the name Homo sapiens (human). Its description in RNAcentral is "HSALNT0186138". The record is from RNAcentral. Lineage: Eukaryota; Metazoa; Chordata; Mammalia; Primates; Hominidae.
CCUCUCCCUCCACACCUCCAUGCAAGCUGAGGGAGCCUGCUCCGGCCUUGGCCAGCCCAAAAACGGGCUCCCACAGUGCAGCGGUGGGCUGAAGGGCUCCUUAAGUGCCGCCAAAGUGGGAGCCCAGGCAGAGGAGGCGCCGAGAGCGAGCCAGGGCUGUGAGGACUGCCAGCACGCUGUCACCUCUCAAUGGGAAGAAAUGUUCUAUAACAGCUGCAUGGCCAGAAGCUGUCUGACUAGACUCUGGAGUCUCAUGAAGCUUCGCAACUUCCAGAGGAAGACUUAAAUGGUAAAUCGCCAUUACUUUUGGUCAAAUUCAGCUCCUUUCUCAGCAGCAGCUACGCAUUCCUCACCCUCCAACCUCUUGGCAGACAGUCCUACGCGUGUUCCAGAGCAAUUUUCACACAGUUAGCAGGAACCAAGCAACCACUGAAUAAAGAGUAGCCCAGGAAGAAUUACAAUCUCAUAGGCACUGAUAUAGCAGUGCUAAGAAGAGAUGACAUAACUCAGCUUUAGAUUGCACCCUCAAGAAAUCAUGCUGAAUUUCACAACAGGUCUGACUUGGAACCACAUGAGUAACUGACACAUCCUAUGGUCACAUGGACAGUGCCCUAUGAACAGCUCUCUGUUGACCAACAAAAAGAUGCUUCGUUUAUAGAUGGCAUUUUCAAGGUGGAAACACAGCAUCCUAUUUGGAAGACUGCUGCACUAAGACCAGCAUAUGAAAUGACUGAUUGAAGAAGCUUUCUUUCUGCUUGGUCUUCCGCCAUGAUUAUAAGUUUCCUGAGGCCUCCCCAGCAAUGCAGAACUGUA